AGACUUACCUGUCAGGGAAAACACAAAGUGAUAAGGAGGUGGUUUUUCCCAGGAUGAGGCUUAUCCAUUGCACUUCCAAUGUUCUGACUUAACCCUGCAAUUUCUCCAAAUGCAGAAUGUUUGACUGCAUAAUUUGUGGUCAUUGAGAGACCAGCAUUUGCAUUCUCCCC
Molecule: small nuclear RNA, 170 nt
Organism: Nannospalax galili (Upper Galilee mountains blind mole rat)
Lineage: Eukaryota; Metazoa; Chordata; Mammalia; Rodentia; Spalacidae
Gene: U1
Rfam family: U1 spliceosomal RNA
About the family: U1 is a small nuclear RNA (snRNA) component of the spliceosome (involved in pre-mRNA splicing).
Source: Ensembl